This 322-nucleotide unclassified non-coding RNA is filed under the name uncultured fungus. Its description in RNAcentral is "partial contains 5.8S ribosomal RNA and internal transcribed spacer 2". The stretch from base 1 to 133 matches the Rfam family "5.8S ribosomal RNA", at positions 22 to 154 of the family's 154-position model. The record is from RNAcentral. Lineage: Eukaryota; Fungi.
UGGCUCUGGCAUCGAUGAAGAACGCAGCGAAAUGCGAUAAGUAGUGUGAAUUGCAGAAUUCAGUGAAUCAUCGAAUCUUUGAACGCACAUUGCGCCCCUUGGUAUUCCAUGGGGCAUGCCUGUUCGAGCGUCAUCUACACCCUCAAGCUCUGCUUGGUGUUGGGCGUCUGUCCCGCCUCUGCGCGCGGACUCGCCCCAAAUUCAUUGGCAGCGGUCUUUGCCUCCUCUCGCGCAGCACAAUUGCGUCUGCGGGGGGCGUGGUCCGCGUCCACGAAGCAACAUUACCGUCUUUGACCUCGGAUCAGGUAGGGAUACCCGCUGA